Molecule: ribosomal RNA, 629 nt
Filed under: uncultured Eubacteriales bacterium
Lineage: Bacteria; Bacillati; Bacillota; Clostridia; Eubacteriales
Description: bacterial SSU rRNA
Rfam family: Bacterial small subunit ribosomal RNA
Source: RNAcentral
GGCGAACGGGUGAGUAACGCGUGAGUAACCUGCCUUACACAAGGGGAUAGCCGUUGGAAACGACGAAUAAUACCCUAUGAAACCAUCAGAUCGCAUGAGGUGAUAGUCAAAGUGUUUAGCGGUGUAAGAUGGACUUGCGUCUGAUUAGGGAGUUGGUGAGAUAACAGCUCACCAAGGCGACGAUCAGUAGCCGGCUCGAGAGAGUGUACGGCCACAUUGGGACUGAGACACGGCCCAGACUCCUACGGGAGGCAGCAGUGGGGAAUUUUGCACAAUGGGGGCAACCCUGAUGCAGCGACGCCGCGUGAUUUAGAAGGCCUUCGGGUUGUAAAAAUCUUUUGUAUAGGAAGAAAAUGACAGUACUAUACGAAUAAGGUCCGGCUAAUUACGUGCCAGCAGCCGCGGUAAUACGUAAGGACCGAGCGUUGUCCGGAAUCAUUGGGCGUAAAGGGUACGUAGGCGGGCGCUUAAGUUAGAAGUGAAAGGCUAUAGCUCAACUAUAGUAAGCUUCUAAAACUGGGCGUCUUGAGAGAUGGAAGGGAAAGUGGAAUUCCUAGUGUAGCGGUGGAAUGCGCAGAUAUUAGGAGGAAUACCGGUGGCGAAGGCGACUUUCUGGCCAUUUUCUGACG